This 468-nucleotide ribosomal RNA is filed under the name uncultured bacterium. Its description in RNAcentral is "partial 16S ribosomal RNA". It matches the Rfam family "Bacterial small subunit ribosomal RNA", at positions 28 to 507 of the family's 1533-position model. The record is from RNAcentral.
GACGAACGCUGGCGGCGUGCUUAACACAUGCAAGUCGAACGGAAAGGCCCUGCUUUUGUGGGGUUCUCGAGUGGCGAACGGGUGAGUAACACGUGAGUAACCUGCCCUUGACUUUGGGAUAACUUCAGGAAACUGGGGCUAAUACCGGAUAGGAGCUCCUGCUGCAUGGUGGGGGUUGGAAAGUUUCGGCGGUUGGGGAUGGACUCGCGGCUUAUCAGCUUGUUGGUGGGGUAGUGGCUUACCAAGGCUUUGACGGGUAGCCGGCCUGAGAGGGUGACCGGCCACAUUGGGACUGAGAUACGGCCCAGACUCCUACGGGCGGCAGCAGUGGGGAAUAUUGCACAAUGGGCGGAAGCCUGAUGCAGAAACGCCGCGUGCGGGAUGACGGCCUUCGGGUUGUGAACAGCUUUCGCCUGUGACGAAGCGUGCGUGACGGUAAUGGGUAAAGAAGCACCGGCUAACUACGUG